ACUACAGAAUUUACAAUGGAUUGGUGCUUCGGGAACUCUGACACAGGUGCUGCAUGGCUGUCGUCAGCUCGUGUCGUGAGAUGUUGGGUUAAGUCCCGUAACGAGCGCAACCCUUGUCCUUAGUUACCAGCAUCGUAAUGGUGGGCACUCUAAGGAGAGCUGCCGGAUGAACAAAGCCGGAGGAANGUGGGGAAUGACCGUCAACGUCAUCAUGGCCCUUACGGCCUGGUGCUACACACGUGCUACAAGUGGUCGAGUACAGAGGGUUGCCAACCCGCGAGGUGGAGCUAAUCUCACAAAACCGAUCGUAUCCGGAUCGCAGUCUGCAACUCGACUGCGUGAAGUCGGAAUCGCUAUAAUCGCGAAUCAAAUGUCGCGGUGAAUACGUUCCCGGGUCUUGUACA
Molecule: ribosomal RNA, 404 nt
Filed under: uncultured bacterium
Lineage: Bacteria
Description: bacterial SSU rRNA
Rfam family: Bacterial small subunit ribosomal RNA
Source: RNAcentral